GAAUUUUGGACAAUGGGCGAAAGCCUGAUCCAGCAAUGCCGCGUGCAGGAUGAAGGCCUUCGGGUUGUAAACUGCUUUUGUACGGAACGAAAAGCUUUGGGUUAAUACCCUGGAGGCAUGACGGUACCGUACGACAACGGACCGGCUAACUCCGUGCCACACACCGCGGUAACACGUAGGGUGCAAGCGUUAAUCGGAAUUACUGGGCGUAAAGCGUGCGCAGGCGGUUUUGUAAGACAGAGGUGAAAUCCCCGGGCUCAACCUGGGAACUGCCUUUGUGACUGCAAGGCUAGAGUACGGCAGAGGGGGGUGGAAUUCCGCGUGUAGCAGUGAAAUGCGUAGAUAUGCGGAGGAACACCGAUGGCGAAGGCAACCCCCUGGGCCUGUACUGACGCUCAUGCACGAAAGCGUGGGGAGCAAAC
RNAcentral lists this ribosomal RNA (422 nucleotides) under uncultured bacterium. RNAcentral describes it as "partial 16S ribosomal RNA". It matches the Rfam family "Bacterial small subunit ribosomal RNA", at positions 359 to 773 of the family's 1533-position model. The record is from RNAcentral.